RNAcentral lists this unclassified non-coding RNA (374 nucleotides) under uncultured bacterium. RNAcentral's name for it is "contains 16S-23S intergenic spacer region". The record is from RNAcentral.
UCCGAGUUGACCCCGGCAGUCUCCUAUGAGUCCCCGGCAUAACCCGCUGGCAACAUAGAACGAGGGUUGCGCUCGUUGCGGGACUUAACCCAACAUCUCACGACACGAACUGACGACAGCCAUGCAGCACCUCACCAGGUGCCCGAAGGAGGGCCCCUUUCAGGGCCUGUCACCUGAUGUUCGAGCCUGGGUAAGGUUCUUCGCGUUGCAUCGAAUUAAUCCACAUGCUCCACCGCUUGUGCGGGCCCCCGUCAAUUCCUUUGAGUUUCACCCUUGCGAGCGUACUCCCCAGGUGGAGCGCUUAACGCGUUAGCUUAGACACUGCCCCCCAAUCGGGGCAGCAUCGAGCGCUCAUCGUUUACGGCGUGGACUAC